CUACGGGGUGCUGCAGUGGGGAAUAUUGGACAAUGGGGGAAACCCUGAUCCAGCAAUGCCGCGUGUGUGAAGAAGGCCUGCGGGUUGUAAAGCACUUUCGGUUGGGAGGACUGCUUCUAGCACUAAUAUUGUUGGAAGUUGACGUUACCUUCAGAAGAAGCACCGGCUAACUCCGUGCCAGCAGCCGCGGUAAGUACGGAGGGUGCAAGCGUUAAUCGGAAUUACUGGGCGUAAAGCGCGCGUAGGCGGCUAGAUCAGUCGGGUGUGAAAGCCCCGGGCUUAACCUGGGAACUGCAUCCGAUACUGUCUAGCUUGAGUACAGGAGAGGAGAGUGGAAUUCCACAUGUAGCGGUGAAAUGCGUAGAUAUGUGGAGGAACACCAAUGGCGAAGGCAGCUCUCUGGCCUGAUACUGACGCUGAGGUGCGAAAGCGUGGGGAGCAAACAGGAUUAGAUACCCGGGUAGUC
This 466-nucleotide ribosomal RNA is filed under the name uncultured bacterium. RNAcentral's name for it is "partial 16S ribosomal RNA". It matches the Rfam family "Bacterial small subunit ribosomal RNA", at positions 339 to 795 of the family's 1533-position model. The record is from RNAcentral.